This 253-nucleotide ribosomal RNA is filed under the name uncultured bacterium. Its description in RNAcentral is "partial 16S ribosomal RNA". It matches the Rfam family "Bacterial small subunit ribosomal RNA", at positions 524 to 776 of the family's 1533-position model. The record is from RNAcentral.
UACGUAGGGUGCGAGCGUUAAUCGGAAUUACUGGGCGUAAAGCGUGCGCAGGCGGUUCGCCAAGUCAGGUGUGAAAUCCCCGGGCUUAACCUGGGAAUUGCGCUUGAAACUAGCGGGCUUGAGUGUGGCAGAGGGGGGUGGAAUUCCACGUGUAGCAGUGAAAUGCGUAGAGAUGUGGAGGAACACCGAUGGCGAAGGCAGCCCCCUGGGUCAACACUGACGCUCAUGCACGAAAGCGUGGGGAUCAAACAGG